Molecule: long non-coding RNA, 572 nt
Filed under: Homo sapiens (human)
Lineage: Eukaryota; Metazoa; Chordata; Mammalia; Primates; Hominidae
Description: HSALNT0306073
Source: RNAcentral
AGGGUAACUGCUGCCUUCUACCUGUAGGGGAAGCGCUUCCUCUGGAGCGGGGGAUGCAGCACCCGGAAGCAGUCAUGCCAGGCCUGCCUGAUUCCCAUCUUCUUGCCAGAGAUCUUUGAAAGUGCAGGUGGAACAGAGUUCUUGCCCCAUGGCUCCACUACCGUUGCAGUCAUAGUGAACGUGAGACCAGAUGGCAGGGAUCUGAUGAAAAUUAUUGAUUUAAAGGAUGCAGAUGAGAACCUGAAGAGCUGACUAAAAAGUAAUGACUGAAAAGCUGAGAUACUGAGCAUAGCUUCCAAAUGUCUCAUGGGGCUAUAGAGAAAAACCCUGUGUUCAUGGCCCACUGUGAAAUAAGAAUGCUAGGAAACCUCCAGGCUUUUAGUUAGGACUCCUGAAACAUGAUAGUAAGGAAUGUGAAUAUAAACAUAGGAGAAAACCAAAAAUAUGCCAGACCUCACAAAGAAUGAAGCCUGAAUUUGAAUUAGCUCAGUGGUUGAUUGAAUUAGGUCAUAUUCCUUCUUUAAACUGCCUCAUUGGAAUAAAAAGUAAAUCCUUUCUGGAGGAAAAUAACA